ACCCCCUGGCCUCGUGCAAGGAGACACCUGGUUGGUGGUGUUGCUCUUAUGUCAGCCAGGGGCAAAGCAGAUGCACCAUCACCCGCGGGUGAUGCCUGUAUUGGUGGCCAGAGCUCGUUCACGCCUGAGGCGCAGAA
Molecule: small nucleolar RNA, 137 nt
Organism: Molossus molossus (Pallas's mastiff bat)
Lineage: Eukaryota; Metazoa; Chordata; Mammalia; Chiroptera; Molossidae
Product: small nucleolar RNA SNORA48
Exons: 1
Source: RefSeq, a predicted model, not a curated record